GAUACAAAUGAUGUGUCUAUUAGUGACCAAAGCCUGACUUUUGCUGAUUAGUCUUAACUGAUUGACUAAAAC
Artibeus jamaicensis (Jamaican fruit-eating bat) is the source of this 72-nucleotide small nucleolar RNA. The record is from RefSeq and is a predicted model, not a curated record. Lineage: Eukaryota; Metazoa; Chordata; Mammalia; Chiroptera; Phyllostomidae.